CACGUAGGGGGCGAGCGUUGUCCGGAUUCAUUGGGCGUAAAGCGCGCGCAGGCGGCUUGGAGAGUCGGGUGUGAAAACUCGGGGCUCAACCCCGGGCGUGCAUCCGAUACUGCCAGGCUUGAGGCAGGUAGGGGAGAUCGGAAUUCCUGGUGUAGCGGUGAAAUGCGCAGAUAUCAGGAGGAACACCGGUGGCGAAGGCGGAUCUCUGGGCCUGUCCUGACGCUGAGGCGCGAAAGCUAGGGGAGCGAACAGG
This 253-nucleotide ribosomal RNA is filed under the name uncultured bacterium. RNAcentral's name for it is "partial 16S ribosomal RNA". It matches the Rfam family "Bacterial small subunit ribosomal RNA", at positions 524 to 776 of the family's 1533-position model. The record is from RNAcentral.